CCUACGGGUGGCUGCAGUGGGGAAUAUUGGACAAUGGGCGAAAGCCUGAUCCAGCCAUGCCGCGUGUGUGAAGAAGGCCUUCGGGUUGUAAAGCACUUUCAGUGGGGAAGAAAGCCUUGGGGCUAAUACCCUCGAGGAAGGACAUCACCCACAGAAGAAGCACCGGCUAACUCCGUGCCAGCAGCCGCGGUAAUACGGAGGGUGCGAGCGUUAAUCGGAAUUACUGGGCGUAAAGCGCGCGUAGGCGGUCUGAUAAGCCGGUUGUGAAAGCCCCGGGCUCAACCUGGGAACGGCAUCCGGAACUGUCAGGCUAGAGUGCAGGAGAGGAAGGUUGAAUUCCCGGUGUAGCGGUGAAAUGCGUAGAGAUCGGGAGGAAUACCAGUGGCGAAGGCGGCCUUCUGGACUGACACUGACGCUGAGGUGCGAAAGCGUGGGUAGCAAACAGGAUUAGAUACCCCAGUAGUC
RNAcentral lists this ribosomal RNA (465 nucleotides) under Vreelandella stevensii. Its description in RNAcentral is "partial 16S ribosomal RNA". It matches the Rfam family "Bacterial small subunit ribosomal RNA", at positions 338 to 795 of the family's 1533-position model. Lineage: Bacteria; Pseudomonadati; Pseudomonadota; Gammaproteobacteria; Oceanospirillales; Halomonadaceae. The record is from RNAcentral.